This 111-nucleotide transfer RNA is filed under the name Nitrosomonas sp. Its description in RNAcentral is "tRNA-Ser". Lineage: Bacteria; Pseudomonadati; Pseudomonadota; Betaproteobacteria; Nitrosomonadales; Nitrosomonadaceae. The record is from RNAcentral.
GGGAAAGUGGGAAAAAGAAUUUACGGUUCUUCUACUUUGAAACCAUAAUUUCCACUUUCACUGCUUCUUUUAAUCCGUUGGUCGCCAGUUCGAAUCUGGCACGGCCUACCA